UACGGCGGUCAUAGCGGCGGGGUCACACCCGGUCUCGUUUCGACCCCGGAAGUUAAGCCCGCCAGCGAUCCCGGGUGUACUGCCCUC
RNAcentral lists this ribosomal RNA (87 nucleotides) under Thermococcus sp. GR4. The record is from RNAcentral. Lineage: Archaea; Methanobacteriati; Methanobacteriota; Thermococci; Thermococcales; Thermococcaceae.